Long non-coding RNA from Elgaria multicarinata webbii, 242 nucleotides. RefSeq lists it as uncharacterized. Lineage: Eukaryota; Metazoa; Chordata; Lepidosauria; Squamata; Anguidae. The transcript is spliced from 3 exons. The record is from RefSeq and is a predicted model, not a curated record.
CCGUUAACCCUUCAGCAGCCCGAGGCUCCAGUUGUGAUCUGCAGAACAGCGGCUGCUGGUUAUGAUGGAGCAGUAUGUGCUACUGGAUCCACGGCAGAGGGCCUUGUACCGGGACGUCAUGCAGGAGAGUUAUGAGACGCUGAUGGCACUUGAAUUUCCACUGCCCAAGCCUGACUUGCUGACCCGAACAGAACGAGGAGAUGAAGCAACAGCCUUUGACUUUCAGGGGCCGAGAGGCAUCC